UACGUAGGGGGCAAGCGUUGUCCGGAAUUAUUGGGCGUAAAGCGCGCGCAGGCGGUUCCUUAAGUCUGAUGUGAAAGGCCACAGCUCAACUGUGGAGGGCCAUUGGAAACUGGGGAACUUGAGGACAGAAGAGGAGAGCGGAAUUCCACGUGUAGCGGUGAAAUGCGUAGAUAUGUGGAGGAACACCAGUGGCGAAGGCGGCUCUCUGGUCUGUAACUGCCGCUGAGGCGCGAAAGCAUGGGUAGCAAACAGA
RNAcentral lists this ribosomal RNA (253 nucleotides) under uncultured bacterium. RNAcentral's name for it is "partial 16S ribosomal RNA". It matches the Rfam family "Bacterial small subunit ribosomal RNA", at positions 524 to 776 of the family's 1533-position model. The record is from RNAcentral.